CCCCCAGGCGCCUCUUGUCCAGGCACUUUAGUGCAAACUCACUGAUGUGAGCCGAAUCCCUUGCCCGCGGCUGCCUGCGGUGCGGCUAACUCGUCAAUGCGAUAACUGUCGUCCGCCUGCAGACGGCGCGCUUCGGCUCUACCGGAACCCCGCGCGGCGCGAAGCGGAACCCCGAGGCCGCCCUGACUUAAGACGCGCAUCAACCGCCUUCCUUCUUCAUCCGAAUCCAAACCUGCCUGCGUCCGGCGCAAGCUGAGCGCCCAGGAAAUGCGCGCUGAGGGAAGAAAUGACGCCAGGGGACACUCUCCAGGACAGGCCGGAACGCGCGACACGCACCAUCCGGGGGCUCUGCACGACGGAGACCCGGACGACACCGACGAGCUGGGUCGGGCAGCAAAUCCAAGACAAGGCCAUUGAUCUGCUUGCUGAUGGUGUGGGACCCUCCAGCAGAGUUAUUGGUACCAUCUUCCUUCCCUGUGAUGAGCUGCUCAGGGUGGAGAAGUUGCCAGCGGGAACUUCCAUCAAUGACUGUGGAUUCCAGGUCUACAAACACUGCCACAAACACAUGUGCCAGCACCUGUCUCACUGCAAAAGUGUUGAAGGAGUCAUCUCCUCCCCCAGUGGUCUUGUCAGUUGGCAUCUGAUCAUUGGGCUGGAUGCCCUAUUCCAGGCAGUAGAGCUCCCCGCAGGUAGUGCCAGUCUGAACACCAGCCUGGAUGGAAAUGAACUUGUGCAUGGUUGCUGCUUUAUGGCUGCAGAGCAGAUGGCAGAGAGGAAGAGGAAGGGCUGUUGCUUCUUACAGUGCCACUCUUAGGGGAUGGACGGAAGAACUUGCCUUUCCUCGGCAUUUUAGGAAAGUGGGCAGAGCUGGGUAGAGAGGAAGCGGUGUUACCAUUGAGAAGUCCUGCUCUACACCUGUGACUGUUCUUGUGUAUGUAACCUAUUUGUCAUCUGUUGCAACUUUUAGAUUCAUCAGCUUAUUUUUGGUAUUCAAAACUUUCAUGUUGAUAUGUUUAGUUCCAGUCUUUCAAGAAAUUGCCCAUUUUGGGGCGCCCAGGUGGCUCAGUCAGUUAAGCAUCUGCCUUCGUCUCAGGUCAUGAUCUCGGGAUCCUGGGAUGGAGCCCCACAUUGGGGUCCCUGCUUCUCCCUCUCACGAUGCCCCUUUCUACCCCACACUCGUGCUCUCUCUCUCAUGCUCUCUCAAAUAAAUAAAUAAAUCUUUUUUAAAAAAACUGCCGA
RNAcentral lists this long non-coding RNA (1239 nucleotides) under Neogale vison (American mink). RNAcentral's name for it is "Neovison vison (American mink) lncRNA (ENSNVIG00000002162.1)". Lineage: Eukaryota; Metazoa; Chordata; Mammalia; Carnivora; Mustelidae. The record is from RNAcentral.